GAAUUCAGAAUUUGGAAUUUUGCGAUUUAUAGAUACAGAAGCGAAACAGAGGCAUAUGUUUUUGUUUCCCCUUUUUAUAGACUCUUGCUUCUUAUACACAC
This is a small nuclear RNA of Arabidopsis thaliana (thale cress), 101 nucleotides long. Lineage: Eukaryota; Viridiplantae; Streptophyta; Magnoliopsida; Brassicales; Brassicaceae. The record is from RefSeq.